GUCAGUGUCUUUCCUUAGAAUAUGCCACUUGGUCCAAACUAUAAAUUAUUGCAACAUUCACGGCACUAAGGUCAGGCAGGAAGGGCAUCAUCUAAAAUUAGGAAUUCCACUGUAUGUGAAUGUAAGGCUCACUCUGAUUCAAGUGUUUGCAGCAGCAGAGGAGGAUAAAGAAGUCCGUUGAGUUCCUUCAGCCGUCAGACCCCAGCGGGCGGGCCGAGGUCCAGUCCCGGAAAGGGUCUAAGUCUCCCAGAUGAAGCCUGCCGUGCGCACGGUCUUUACUGGAUUCCACCAACCCGCUGGAAUCCUCAGGCGUAUUGGAAUCUGGCUCGAAGGACCAAAAAUAUCGAGAACCAGGGGGACUGGCCUGGAUGGUCAAACUGCACCAGGAGAGAGAAAUGGCUCCAAGGAAAGUCAGGGCUGAUAUGCUGCUCAAACACCAGCAUGCAAUAGCUGUCGCACACACUGGUUCAACUUGAUAGAAAGUGAAAGAAACAAAGUAAUGCUUCUUAUAGUAGCAGCAUGUAUUUUAUUUCUUUCUGUUUCUCAAGGCCCUCAUCUUGCUCAGUUUGAAACAACAUAGACCAUUAUGGUUUUUAGUAAGUCUUUGUAAUGCUAUAAAUAUUAUUAUUAUUAUUAGGGGGAUUUAUGAGUUAUUACCCUUCUUUGCAAAGGUAUUCACACUCCGUAAGUCUUCUCACAUAUUGUCACAUUACAGCUACAAACUUCAAAGUACUUCAAUCAGUAAAAUAAUGUUUUAUUGUGCAACAAGUAAUCAGGAACAUGAACGAGUGAAUCUCCAACUGUAUGGAAGGAAGGGGAAGAGAACUGGUGAGACAAGGAACUAAAAUGAGGCAGAACUAAUGAUAAAUAACUAAGUUGAAUAAGUGAACGGCUUUACUAAGUAGAUGCAAUCAGGUCGCCAGGGGUUGAGGGAUUCGGGAUUCGGGAUCUCGGUUUAGAGUUCGUUCUGAUGUUUCCUCUGGUGCUGUUUGAGGGAGUCUGGAAAAGCCAUGUAGUUAUCCAAGAUGCAGAUGGUUAUGUUGGAGGAUGGACAGGGUACGCUUAAUAUCUUGAUCCAAGAAACGGAGGAAUCAGGAAGGCUGCCAGCCAGAGCGAAAUCCAGUUGAAGUCAGUAGUUCAGAAAACGAAGUCCUCAAAAACGUAGGAAGUCUUAACCCACAGAACUUCUGAGACUGAAAUCUGUGUUCAUCGAGAUAAAUCUAAGAAUCAGGGAUCAGCCUGCGAAGGACCAUAAACAAAGUUACUUAGAGCACAAAACCGAAGCUUAGACUAGAAGUGGCUGAGUUAGUUACCACUGUAGGCAAAUACUCUCGCGUCAAAGUGCUGGCAGCCUCCUGCUUAAAUACUCCUCAUGCAAUCAGCAGAAUAAGAGAGACAGGGGUCUGUGCAGACUAAAAGUGGGCGUUUCUCAACCGAAGUGGGGGUUUCUCAACCAGUAGGCGUUCCGUGAUCACAAACAGUGAUUGGUUGGCUUUAUGUCCUCUGUUUUUCACGGAGGUAUAUGUACAGAGCUAACCUGUAUGAAGUUGUACGGAGAAGCGCAGAAAGAAGGUAAAGCAAUUAUCAGUCAUUAAGUUAAUUUUCGAAAUUAUAUUUUUAAUGUUGUCAGUUUGUAUUAUGAAGCCUACAUGUACAAAUUUGUAGGUAAAAAAGUACAGGUCAAAAGUACAGGUUUAAAAUGUAAGUGACAAAGGUGAUCUAUCAUACUUAGGUUUCAAAUGUGAUUGUAGCAAGACUGAAAUAGUGAGGUCGAAGAGUGAAAAAAAUUAAAUAAAAAGACUAGUUAUGCUAGUUUCAAAGUUAUUUAUGCUUAAAUAAUUAACACAUUGGAGAGACAUGGACCAUAAACGUCUAAUGUAUUGUGUUGAGGUAUAUUACUAGCAUGUCACCAUAGCAAAAAUACACCUAUGUGUUGAACGUUUUGUAGCAUAACGUAGCUUAGCUACAUGAAUUUGGCUGAUCUGUUGCGUUUUGCGGAUGGAUUAAUACUGAAUAUAUAUAUUUCUUGUAUUAACUAAACAUAGUUUUGUAAAUUUAGUUAUAUAUUUUGGAUAUGUGUGUAGUGUUGAUUUUGAUUUUAAUUUUAAUUGAUUUUAACUUCAGAGGUUUUGUAGACAUAAUAAAACAAUAAAUGAGUCAUUGGCCUUAGCUGCACCUUAAAAAGCUAAACUUUUUUACAUGGAUCCACAAAUUACUUCAUUUAUAGUUACAUUUUAAACAUCAGGCGUUAAUUGAAAUCUUCUGUCACAAAGGACUUUUGCACUGCAUGUUGAAUACAUUGGGAAAGGGAAAUGCCUUGUCCUUAUGCAAGUGCUACUUAAAUGUUGUGUUUGGUGAUUUUAAUAAUUUCUUUUUACAACUGAAGGUGUCGUUGACGGGAAGAAAUUCUCUAAAGAAUUUCAGGCUGAGAACCAGAAGCCGUACCUCACAUCAAACUGCUUAAGUUGUGGAAGCACAUUGAAAGGUUAUGGUGCAGGUUACUGGGGCAAUGGGAAACGAGGACAGCUGAGAGGCUUUUAUUCGGAACCCUGUACUCCGGGGUACUGCAGCCACUUCUGCGCCAUGGAUGCAGGAUGCUAUGAAGACUUUUAAGAUAUGUGGGACAAAAUGUCUUCAAAAGUUCAAUACUUAAGAAGUACACCACCGCCAAGUGAUGCCUGCACAUUUUUUUGAUGUAAAAUAAAGAACAUCUUUAACCUCA
Long non-coding RNA from Girardinichthys multiradiatus, 2722 nucleotides. RefSeq lists it as uncharacterized. The transcript is spliced from 4 exons. Lineage: Eukaryota; Metazoa; Chordata; Actinopteri; Cyprinodontiformes; Goodeidae. The record is from RefSeq and is a predicted model, not a curated record.